Molecule: long non-coding RNA, 2910 nt
Filed under: Sus scrofa (pig)
Lineage: Eukaryota; Metazoa; Chordata; Mammalia; Artiodactyla; Suidae
Description: lncRNA (ENSSSCG00030051454.1)
Source: RNAcentral
AGUCGGGUACUUCAUUAAAUGCUCGUUUACAGGCUCUCCUGGCUCCAUUUUCUUCUUCCAUUCCCUCUCUUCUUUAGUUCUUUGUCUGCAGCAUGUCAUUCAUAAUUACCUUCUUGUUAUAAGAAAUUGUUGAAGAAAGAGAUUCCAAAUUUACUUUUGAGUUUUUAAAGCUUAUGCUCCAUUUAUAGUUUUUGUAAAACAUUGGCCCUAUCCCCUGUGUGGCGCACUAUAUCCUUGUAGCUUAUUUUAUACCUGAUUGUUUGACCUCCUAGGCCCCUGUCCCUGUACUGGCCCCACCACCAGUAACCACUAGUCCGUUCUCUGUAUCUGUGAUUCCGUCUCUCUUUUGUUAUAUUCAUAAGUUGGUUGUACUUCCUGAUUAUUUUUAUAUAAUUAGAAUGAGUCUUGAUAAAUCAUUCUUGGAGCUCCUUCUGCAUGCAAAAAUGAAUACUUCCUUCUUUGUCGAUGCAAUAAAAUAUUUAAUAGGGCAUGAAAUAAAUGAUAAAUUGCUUCCUUCCGAUAAAUAUGUAUAUUUUAUGGUAAUGCCACCGCUGAUAUGCUUCUUGCCUGGCCGCUGUGUGAUGAUGACUCUUGUGGGGAACCUUCCUGAAUUCUUCCGGGCUCCCUGCUGGGUUCCUCUGUCAUGACUUCCUUUGACCUGGGUGGACACACACCGGCUCCAGGUGGUUUCUUGGGAUCCAGUCUCAGAUCUCGGCAUCCAGACUGCUUCCACCUGCUGAGGUCCUGCACACAGCCAUGCAGACAGCCUCUGGAACACCCUGUAUGGCUCUGGCUCCGGCCCCAAAGCAGUCUGUCAAUCACCUGCCUUUCUCCUGCCAUGCAGGUGGAAGUUAGGCUGCUUUCCACAGGCUGCUUUAACUUGCUUCAAAGUCUUCCAGCUGCAAGGAGCAGCUUUUAAGGCUCUGUGAGUGGUCUUCCCAAAGCUACCUUGGCAGACAUGGGAUUGGAAGGCUUGCGUGUCCACAGCUUGGCAGCUCCUCUGUGCCAAGAAAUGGCUCCAUGCUUCCUCUUCCUGGUUUUUAUCAUAUUGAUACCAACUCUUGGAAAUUCUUGAGGUGAGUGAGGAGGUUCCAGGGUUGUGGACUAGUUUCUCAACCAUCAUCUUGACAAUCUGCCAAUGAUGAUGUGUCAGCGAAGGUAGCCCGGCUGUGUAACAAAUCCAUCCAAAUCCAUCCAAGGCUGCUCCUUGCUCCCUGGGAGCCCUGAGUUGUUGAGUCGUUCCAGAUCAGAGGAGGGGGCUUCUUUAUAUAGUAAGGUAACCACUUCCUUCGCUCCAAGAAGACCCAUCUCCAAGUCAGGGUUAUAUAAGAAAUUCUACUGAUGUUUUAUUUCUAUUUUCUCAGUUUUACGUAUCUCGGCCAAUUGGAUUUUCUCGAGUGCGAGUAUGGAGUAGAGAUUUCAUGUUAUUAUUUUCUAAAUGCGUAGUCAGUUUUCCUCACAUCAUUUAUUAAAUACUCCAUCAUUUCCCCAUGGAUUUACAAUGAUGCAUUUUUAAUCUUAAAUUCCACAUAUGCGUGGGUUCGUUUUCACUCCUUUUGUUCUGUUCUAUUAAUGUUUGUCUCUUCUAUUGCUCGGACCAUUCUGUUUUGCAAUAUGCAAAUGUCUCUUCCCUACUCUGUAAAAAAACUGUCCACUAUCCUCAUAAAGUAAGUCUUCCAAAUAAACCUGAGAAUAAUUUUUUCAAAUUUCAAGAUAAUCCACUGAGAUUUUAUUGAGAUCACCUAUUACUUAGCAAGAACUAGACAUUGGUAAAACCAUGAGAUUUGCUUUUAAACCCAUAUCAUGUUGCUAUAUUCCCAUUGAAAAAUGUUUCUCAAUAAUGCCAUGUCUUUCAAAAAAUUAAUUUGUAGGAAUUUAUAAUGGUCACAUGAUAUUUUAAAUUAUCUUCAACUAUAUCUUCUACUUAGUCAUUGUUGAUAUGUAGUAAAAUUAUUCCAUUUUGUGUAUUCUGUUACUAUUGUCCAUCUUACUGAGUUCUUUUUUAGUUUUCAUGAAUUUCAGUGUACUCUUAGACUUUCUGGGUGUUUACCAUCCAUAAAUAAGACUAAAUUUCUUACAACUUUUUUUUUUUGUUUGCUUAUUGCAUUGACUGAUGCUUUGGAAUUCUGUCAGGUGAUGCUCCUAUAACCGUAUUUGACCACAAAAGACUAUUCUGACUGGUGAUUUCUGAUAGGUGGUCCCUUAAUAAGAAACGGAUGUUAAAUUUGAUCGUAUUUCUGGGCAGCACUUUUCAUGAUGAACAUUUUGGCUUCUUGGCUCUAUAAACAUUACAAACUUUUAUAGGGGUUCUAAGAAAGGAUACCUAUUGCAUUCCUGAAGUAGAUUUGACUUGGUCCAGGAACGUCUUUUAAAAUCUUUGAGAAUGGGUUACAUUUCUCCAUAAAAUAUAAAAAUACUGCAACAAAUCAUCGUCCAUUUUCUUCGCAUGUAUUUCUUGAGCUCCAAGAGUCUAUGAUCUAUUUCCUGCCACCUCGGUGUUUAAAGAUUGGGUGAUCACACUUUAAGAUUGUAACCAGAUGGUUAAACCUGGGAGAGGGGACAGGAGUGCGGGGGAGGGGCCUGCAGAGGAACUCGGAGGAUUUGUAACCUUUGAUUCUUCAGGUGGGUGCUGAGGACAUGUGGGUUUAUUGUGUGCGUGUUAAAUUUUUAGUCUCUUUGAGGUCUUUCAGUGUAUUAUGAAGUGUUAGGAAAUAGUUUUCCACAUCACAACGCCUCCCUUUUUCAAUAACCAGAUUAUUCUCAUGGCAAAGAUACAAUAUUCUCUCAAAUGUUUUAGACAUACAAUUUAAAAAAAGAGUUCCCGUCGUGGCGCAGUGGUUAACGAACCCGACUAGGAACCAUGAGGUUGCGGGUUUGGUCCCUGCCCUUGCUCAGUGGCUUAACGAUCCG